CCUCAAAUCAGGUAGGACUACCCGCUGAACUUAAGCAUAUCAAUAAGCGGAGGAAAAGAAACUAACAAGGAUUCCCCUAGUAACUGCGAGUGAAGCGGGAAAAGCUCAAAUUUAAAAUCUGGUGGUCUCCGGCCAUCCGAGCUGUAAUCUAGAGAAGUGUUACCCGCGUCGGACCGUGUACAAGUCUCCUGGAAUGGAGCGUCAUAGAGGGCGAGAAUCCCGUCUUUGACACGGACCCCCGAGGCUCUGUGGUGCGCUCUCAAAGAGUCGAGUUGUUUGGGAAUGCAGCUCAAAAUGGGUGGUAAAUUCCAUCUAAAGCUAAAUAUUGGCGAGAGACCGAUAGCGAACAAGUACCGUGAGGGAAAGAUGAAAAGAACUUUGGAAAGAGAGUUAAACAGUACGUGAAAUUGCUGAAAGGGAAACGCUUGAAGUCAGUCGCGUCGGCCGGAAAUCAGCCUUGCUCUUGCUUGGUGUACUUUCUGGUUGACGGGCCAGCAUCAGUUUUGACCGGUGGAUAAAGUUGUGAGGAAUGUGGCAUCUUCGGGUGUGUUAUAGCCUCGCUUCGUAUACAUCGGUUGGGACUGAGGAACUCAGCACGCCGAAAGGCCGGGGUUCGCCCACGUUCGUGCUUAGGAUGUUGGCAUAAU
Molecule: ribosomal RNA, 647 nt
Filed under: uncultured Basidiomycota
Lineage: Eukaryota; Fungi; Basidiomycota
Description: LSU rRNA
Rfam family: Eukaryotic large subunit ribosomal RNA
Source: RNAcentral